RNAcentral lists this non-coding RNA (977 nucleotides) under Struthidea cinerea. RNAcentral's name for it is "12S ribosomal RNA". It matches the Rfam family "Bacterial small subunit ribosomal RNA". Lineage: Eukaryota; Metazoa; Chordata; Aves; Passeriformes; Corcoracidae. The record is from RNAcentral.
AAGAGACUUAGUCCCAACCUUACUGUUAGUUGUUGCUAGACAUAUACAUGCAAGUAUCCGCAUUCCAGUGUAGACGCCCUGACUUCCUUCAACCAAGUCGACAGGAGCUGGCAUCAGGCACACUCACAGUAGCCCAAGACGCCUCGCAUUUGCCACACCCCCACGGGUACUCAGCAGUAGUUAACAUUAAGCAAUGAGUGUAAACUUGACUUAGUCAUAGCAAUUCUAAGGGGCGGUAAAUCCUGUGCCAGCCACCGCGGUCAUACAGGAGACCCAAAUUAACAUUAUAACGGCGUAAAGCGUGGUAGCAUGCUAUCCAAAUAACUAAGAUUAAAAAGCAACUGAGCUGUGAUAAGCCCAAGAUGCUCAUAAGGCCAACUGCUAAAGAAGAUCUUAGCCAAACGAUUAAUUGAAACCCACGAAAGCCAGGGCCCAAACUGGGAUUAGAUACCCCACUAUGCCUGGCCCUAAAUCUUGGUGCUCUAUAUUACCUGAGCAUCCGCCCGAGAACUACGAGCACAAACGCUUAAAACUCUAAGGACUUGGCGGUGCCCCAAACCCACCUAGAGGAGCCUGUUCUGUAAUCGAUAAUCCACGAUACACCUGACCAUUCCUAGCCCAAUCAGCCUACAUACCGCCGUCGCCAGCCCACCCUGCCUGAUGGUUCAACAGUGAGCGCAAUAGUCUUACCCACUAAUAAGACAGGUCAAGGUAUAGCCCAUGGAAUGGGAGCAAUGGGCUACAUUUUCUAGAUUAGAACAUUGCGGCAAAAAGGCAUGAAACAGCCUUUAGAAGACGGAUUUAGCAGUAAAGUGGGACAAUCGAGCCCUCUUUAAGCCGGCUCUGGGGCACGUACAUACCGCCCGUCACCCUCUUCUCAAGCGGCCAAAACAACCCAAUACACUAAUACGCUACUCAGCUAAAGAGGAGGCAAGUCGUAACAAGGUAAGUGUACCGGAAGGUGCACUUAGACAACC